AAGUUCCUUCGGGAAUUAGUAAAGCGGCGAACGAGUGAGUAUCGCGUGGGAAUUUACCCUUCAGUGAAGAAUAACCUUGAGAAAUCGAGGACAAUACUGCAUACGUCUCUUCGGAGAGAAAGAUGGCCUCUUGCUGUCGCUGAAGGAUGAGCCUGCGUACUAUCAGCUAGUUGGUGGGGUAAAGGCCUACCAAGGCUAUGACGGUUAGCCGGCCUGAGAGGGUGUACGGCCACGCUGGAACUUAGACACGGUCCAGACUCCUACGGGAGGCAGCAGUGGGGAAUAUUGCGCAAUGGGCGAAAGCCUGACGCAGCGACGCCGCGUGGAGGAUGAAGGUCUUCGGA
RNAcentral lists this ribosomal RNA (344 nucleotides) under uncultured bacterium. RNAcentral's name for it is "partial 16S ribosomal RNA". It matches the Rfam family "Bacterial small subunit ribosomal RNA", at positions 72 to 422 of the family's 1533-position model. The record is from RNAcentral.